This 252-nucleotide ribosomal RNA is filed under the name uncultured bacterium. Its description in RNAcentral is "partial 16S ribosomal RNA". It matches the Rfam family "Bacterial small subunit ribosomal RNA", at positions 524 to 776 of the family's 1533-position model. The record is from RNAcentral.
UACGUAAGGACCGAGCGUUGUCCGGAAUCAUUGGGCGUAAAGGGUACGUAGGCGGGUUUUUAAGUUAGAAGUCAAAGGCUAUAGCCCAACUAUAGUAAGCUUCUAAAACUGAAUACCUUGAGAGAUGGAAGGGAAAGUGGAAUUCCUAGUGUAGCGGUGAAAUGCGCAGAUAUCAGGAGGAACACCGGUGGCGAAGGCGGGUCUCUGGGCAGUAACUGACGCUGAGGUACGAAAGCGUGGGUAGCAAACAGG